RNAcentral lists this non-coding RNA (322 nucleotides) under Lottia gigantea (owl limpet). RNAcentral's name for it is "eukaryotic large subunit ribosomal RNA". It matches the Rfam family "Eukaryotic large subunit ribosomal RNA", at positions 1568 to 1844 of the family's 3401-position model. Lineage: Eukaryota; Metazoa; Mollusca; Gastropoda; Lottiidae. The record is from Rfam by way of RNAcentral.
AAUCAGUCUCACNCAAUGCACGGGCCGAAAGGGAAACGGGUUAGGAUUCCCGUACCCGAAGGCGGAGCACAAGCGGCGACGCAAAGAAGGUCGGAUACACCGUCGGGAGAGUCGAGAAGAGUUAACUUUUCUUUNUGAGGUGCGCUCGCUGACCCUGGAAGCGGUUCUGCCGGAGAUAGGGAGCGAGAGCAAUCAACUUUAUCCGCAAAGCCGGCUCCAGCGGGGGCCUGUUCGGCUACGACUCGACGGUCCUUGAAACUCCGACGGCUAAACUCUUUCUUUUUUUAUUUUGAAAUAAUGUGUUCGCUCUCGCCUCGGGCCG